This 362-nucleotide unclassified non-coding RNA is filed under the name Hevea brasiliensis (rubber tree). Lineage: Eukaryota; Viridiplantae; Streptophyta; Magnoliopsida; Malpighiales; Euphorbiaceae. The record is from RNAcentral.
CAAUCAUCAAGCCUCACAGCCUUAAAUCUUUUUACUCCAUCAUCCAAUCUCAAAGCAUUAGACCUAUUUUCAACUGGUAAGCCAAGUUGAAUGACUUUCCUUUUCGGACCAGAGAAACUUGUUUUUAGGGAAAAUGAUUGUUGACGUCUAACUGAAGUGAGAAAAACUGACUCCCGAUCACUUCUAGUUUCACUUACAAGCUCUUUCAAGACUGUAUCAUUAGGUUUCAUAUCAUGUUGAACAGCUUCCCCCUCAUUCUCUUUCAUACACACGCCUCCAUAAGAUGAGCUCCCUAGAGCAGAAUGAAGCCCAGAGGUGACGUGACUAUUUUCUUUGGAAUUCAGAUUUGUAUCAUUUAAGUG